RNAcentral lists this ribosomal RNA (460 nucleotides) under uncultured bacterium. RNAcentral describes it as "partial 16S ribosomal RNA". It matches the Rfam family "Bacterial small subunit ribosomal RNA", at positions 338 to 795 of the family's 1533-position model. The record is from RNAcentral.
CCUACGGGAGGCAGCAGUGAGGAAUAUUGGUCAAUGGACGCAAGUCUGAACCAGCCAUGCCGCGUGCAGGAAGACGGCUCUAUGAGUUGUAAACUGCUUUUGUACGAGGGUAAACGCAGAUACGUGUAUCUGUCUGAAAGUAUCGUACGAAUAAGGAUCGGCUAACUCCGUGCCAGCAGCCGCGGUAAUACGGAGGAUUCAAGCGUUAUCCGGAUUUAUUGGGUUUAAAGGAUGCGUAGGCGGUCGGAUAAGUUAGAGGUGAAAUCCCGAGGCUCAACUUCGGAAUUGCCUCUGAUACUGUUAGGCUAGAGAGUAGUUGCGGUAGGCGGAAUGUAUGGUGUAGCGGUGAAAUGCUUAGAGAUCAUAAAGAACACCGAUUGCGAAGGCAGCUUACCAAGCUACCUCUGACGUUGAGGCACGAAAGCGUGGGGAGCAAACAGGAUUAGAUACCCCAGUAGUC